Non-coding RNA from Epinephelus lanceolatus (giant grouper), 1168 nucleotides. The record is from RefSeq and is a predicted model, not a curated record. Lineage: Eukaryota; Metazoa; Chordata; Actinopteri; Perciformes; Serranidae.
AUAGUACAUUUAUUUUGAAAGAGGCUGCAUGAAAACUGUACAAGUAUUUUCAUUGGGACCCUACUCACCCCCUCUGAUAUGGGGCAUAAACACAAGAUCACUCAUAGACAGGAUGGCAGGGGUUCAACAUGCAUUUUGCUCAGAUAACAGAUCAUAUUAAAGCUGUUACAAACAAAACAAGCAACUGAGUGUACAGAGUUAAAAGAGCUGACUUGUCCAAGACAAGUUGAACUACAUGCCUGGUACAAACAACCAGCUGCAGCAGGCGAGAGGACAGGAGCCUAAAGAAUGAGCACAGUCACCAAGGGCCUUAUACAACCUGGCACUGAUUAGGGGUGUGGUUUGGGGAGGAGACAAGCCUCGGGCUGCAUUCACUAGCACUACAUGCUUACACUAGGCUCAUUCGAAAUUAAUAGUGGUGACAAAAGGCUGCAGUCAAGUCGGACAGUUUCCAUCCUGUUAAACACACCUGUAGGCUACUUUUAGUUUUUCAGACAGUCGGAUACCUUUCAGUAUGGCUGAAGACAUCGCAUACGCAUUCAUCGUAGCCGAUGGAAUUGAAGCAGAGGAGUUACUUUUUCCACGAAGCUUGACUUGAACAGAGAAGUGAUAGACUUCAAACACAUUUCAGACAUUCAAGAGGACAAGUGGAGGACCUUAUGACCAAAUUGAGACCAUCUGCAGCAAACCAAAUUACCUGUGUCAAACAGUGUUCUUGCCUUUCUAUGGACUCUAACCAAGCAUCAUAUAGGUCACCACGGCAGUUGGCAUGAUGCGAGACCAUUUUGCACCAUAGAUGUUGGCUAUUGGAAGAAGAUCCAAGAUCCCCAGGCCCUGGUCCCAGAGGGAAUGCACAUCAUUGGUGAUUCAGCUUACCCUCUAUUACAACGUCUAAUGAAGCCCUACAGGGAUGAUGGGCACUGCCAGGCAGAGGUGUGUGUGUGGCAGGGGGCGUGGCUGGUUCUUUCUACUGCAUCUGACAAGGCACACCUGUGUCCACUCAUGAACCUGCCUACAUCUACCUGGUCUUCACUCCGCUACUCUGCCAGAUAAUUCUGUCCAUUUUUGCCUUCGUGUUGUCUCCAGAGAUCCAGCUCUCUACACUGGUGAACAACCUUCUAGCCAGCCAGCACCCUGCCUCCACUAAAUAAACUCUUGUUUUCAUACA